AAAAAUGAAAUAAACAAAUAACAUGUAAUUGAAUGGCAGCGCAAAAAAAGAAGGACUGAUCAAGCAAAUAACCCUCAAAGACCCAAAACACGCGGAUCUGAUUGCAUCUGGGUCGGGUCAUCGGGUUUGCGUGGUGAAACGAUGCUGUUUCAAAGCCAAUAUUCACAGCUUAAAACGACGCUGUUUUAUGAUAUAUAUAAAAAGAAAAAAAACCUAAAAAUUUGAGCACUUAAACCAUUUUUAAGAAAAGAAGAACGAAAAAAAACCUAGGGCCUCUUCCUCUUCGGUUCCCCACCGUUUGACCACCACUCCACCAUUAUAAUCGGUGGAUAGUGUGAGGGCCCCUCCUAUCUCCGCUUAAGCCAUGAUUCAGGGCCGAUUUCAACCCCGAGAUCCCAUCUCAGCUUCGACUUCGACGAAGGAGAAGGACCCCGGUGGCGUUUUCGCAAAGGUACGAAAGGCGACGUGGAGGCACGAGGGUGGCGUACCGAGGCAUGCAGGGGGUUGUAAGGAGGCGCGCUGGAGGCUAGGGCUGCGGCGCUCCUUGCUGCUAGGGUUCUUAGUUGACUGAGGUUUGUUUAAGUUUUGGGCCAUUUGGGCCAGGGGUAUUUGGGUUAAGUUAUUUUGUAAAUGGGCUUGUAGCUGGGCUAUUGGGUUUUAAAUUUGGGUUAUGUAAUUUGGUCUUGUAGACAUUUAAUCAUUUAUUUUUUGCUUGUCUUUGCUUUUGUCUGA
Gossypium arboreum is the source of this 732-nucleotide long non-coding RNA. RefSeq lists it as uncharacterized. The record is from RefSeq and is a predicted model, not a curated record. Lineage: Eukaryota; Viridiplantae; Streptophyta; Magnoliopsida; Malvales; Malvaceae. The transcript has 2 exons.